RNAcentral lists this ribosomal RNA (253 nucleotides) under uncultured bacterium. RNAcentral describes it as "partial 16S ribosomal RNA". It matches the Rfam family "Bacterial small subunit ribosomal RNA", at positions 524 to 776 of the family's 1533-position model. The record is from RNAcentral.
UACAGAGGGGGCAAGCGUUAUUCGGAAUUACUGGGCGUAAAGGGCGCGUAGGCGGUCCGAUAAGUCCUGUGUGAAAUCCCUCGGCUCAACUGAGGAACUGCACGGGAGACUGUCGGGCUUGAGUUCGGGAGAGGGAAGCGGAAUUCCGGGUGUAGCGGUGAAAUGCGUAGAUAUCCGGAGGAACACCGGUGGCGAAGGCGGCUUCCUGGACCGACACUGACGCUGAGGCGCGAAAGCUAGGGGAGCAAACGGG